RNAcentral lists this ribosomal RNA (439 nucleotides) under uncultured bacterium. RNAcentral describes it as "partial 16S ribosomal RNA". It matches the Rfam family "Bacterial small subunit ribosomal RNA", at positions 339 to 795 of the family's 1533-position model. The record is from RNAcentral.
CUACGGGACGCACCAGUGGGGAAUCUUAGACAAUGGGGGAAACCCUGAUCUAGCCAUGCCGCGUGAGCGACGACGGCCCUAGGGUUGUAAAGCUCUUUCAGCAGGGAAGAUAAUGACGGUACCUGCAGAAGAAGUCCCGGCUAACUCCGUGCCAGCAGCCGCGGUAAUACGGAGGGGACUAGCGUUGUUCGGAAUUACUGGGCGUAAAGCGCGCGUAGGCGGAUUGUUAAGUCGGGGGUGAAAUCCCGGGGCUCAACCCCGGAACUGCCCUCGAUACUGGCAGCCUUGAGUUCGAGAGAGGUGAGUGGAAUUCCGAGUGUAGAGGUGAAAUUCGUAGAUAUUCGGAGGAACACCAGUGGCGAAGGCGGCUCACUGGCUCGAUACUGACGCUGAGGUGCGAAAGCGUGGGGAGCAAACAGGAUUAGAUACCCCAGUAGUC